This 375-nucleotide ribosomal RNA is filed under the name uncultured organism. RNAcentral's name for it is "partial 16S ribosomal RNA". It matches the Rfam family "Bacterial small subunit ribosomal RNA", at positions 527 to 897 of the family's 1533-position model. The record is from RNAcentral.
GUAGGUGGCAAGCGUUGUCCGGAAUUAUUGGGGCGUAAAGCGCGCGCAGGCGGUUCUUUAAGUCUGAUGUGAAAGCCCACGGGCUCAACCGUGGAAGGUCAUUGGAAACUGGAGAACUUGAGUACAGAAGAGGAAAGCGGAAUUCCACGUGUAGCGGUGAAAUGCGUAGAGAUGUGGAGGAACACCAGUGGCGAAGGCGGCUUUCUGGUCUGUAACUGACGCUGAGGCGCGAAAGCGUGGGGAGCAAACAGGAUUAGAUACCCUGGUAGUCCACGCCGUAAACGAUGAGUGCUAAGUGUUAGGGGGUUUCCGCCCCUUAGUGCUGCAGCUAACGCAUUAAGCACUCCGCCUGGGGAGUACGGCCGCAAAGGCUGA